GACGAACGCUGGCGGCGUGCUUGACACAUGCAAGUCGAACGGAAAGGCCUGCUUUCCCUUGUGGAUUGCGGGUACUCGAGUGGCGAACGGGUGAGUAACACGUGAGUGAUCUGCCCCCAACUUGGGUAUAAGCCUGGGAAACUGGGUCUAAUUCCCGAUAGGACUGCAGGGUGGUGCCUGUGGUGGAAAACGAUUUUCUAGUGGUUGGGGAUGAGCUCGCGGCCUAUCAGCUUGUUGGUGGGGUAAUGGCCUACCAAGGCGGCGACGGGUAGCCGGCCUGGGAGGGUGGACGGCCGCAUUGGGACUGGGAUACGGCCCAGACUCCUACGGGAGGCAGCAGUGGGGAGUAUUGCACAAUGGGCGGAAGCCUGAUGCAGCGACGCCGCGUGGGGGAUGACGGCCUUCGGGUUGUAAACUCCUUUCGACCGCGAGGAAGCCACCUGGUUGGAAGGGUGGUGACGGUAGUGGUAGAAGAAGCACCGGCUAACUACGUG
RNAcentral lists this ribosomal RNA (494 nucleotides) under uncultured bacterium. Its description in RNAcentral is "partial 16S ribosomal RNA". It matches the Rfam family "Bacterial small subunit ribosomal RNA", at positions 28 to 507 of the family's 1533-position model. The record is from RNAcentral.